This 2392-nucleotide long non-coding RNA is filed under the name Capsella rubella. RNAcentral's name for it is "long non-coding RNA (CRUB_LNC003920)". The record is from RNAcentral. Lineage: Eukaryota; Viridiplantae; Streptophyta; Magnoliopsida; Brassicales; Brassicaceae.
UAAAAAAAAAAAUUACAACUGUUUUUGAUGAUAUGUUUGUUUGAGGUAAGAGGAAAACAGAAAGUUUGCCCGACUCGAAGAACACGACGAUGAUGAAGAGGAACAUAACUCUCCACCACAUCAGAGAAAGUACACGUCACUCCCUAGGUGAGUUAGUUACCACAUUAGAAGAAUUUAUUUCCUUUCAAUUCUAUUAAAAAUUCUAUUCAAUUCUAAUAAAAUUAUGCAAAAUAUCAUCGUUAGAAUUAGAAGGAAAGAUUUGGAAAUCUUUUACAAUACAUAAAAAUCUAGAUAUAUGUCAUUAAUUCUUUUCUAAUAAAUUCUUUAACAUUACCGUGUUCAAUACCCCUCCUAAAUCAAGAUACAUAUUGUAUACUCCCACUGUUUCACAAAAGUAUCAUUUUAAAGAAAUUUUUUUUACACAAAGAGUGUCAUUCUACAUUUACAAUGCAUCUUUUACAUUAGAUUUCCAUAUUUUACCCUUACUCUACAAUUAUUAACCAUUUAUUAAAUAGGGGAUAUACGUAUAUUUUUUUUUUUUUAAUUUGUGUGAAAUGUAUCAAAAUGAUACUCUUUGUGAAAUAGAAGGAGUAUGAUUUUUAUUUUUAUAUUGAAUGAGAUAAACAUCUACCAGUCUCUCUUGUUGGAUCUUUUACUCUAUUUUAGCUAACUAAGAUCUCUAUUUCAGAUCUGAAAUUUCUACUCCCAAAGUUCACAUUUAUUGGAAAAACUUUUUUUGGCGAAUAAUUUUUACACUAUACAAAAAAUAUAUAUAAUAAAGAGAAACUUGAAAUCGAUAAAUUUUAGACAAGUAUAAGUCUUGUUAAUAUGAUUUUCCCAUUUAAAAAAUAUAUAUAUUUUGACAUUCAAUCAGCUUUAUCAGUCAAAAAUGUAAUGUUAGUUACAUUUUAAACGUUCAUGAUAUGUUUUACAUGAUCCAAACUAAUCAAUAUUGAUCCCAAAAAUAAUUGCCAUAAAAUUGACUUGUAAUUUUUGGGUUAAUGUUAUUCUUGAAACUAAAAACUAAGUUUUGUAAAGUUUAUCCGUUCAUAAUCUUUUAUUAAUGGAGAUUAUAUAGGUUUCAUACUAUAUAAUUAAGAAAAUAUAAUUUUUGAGAAAUGCCCCUUUUGGUUUACCCUUUUUUAAAAUACCCCUAUUUUCUAUCCAUUUUCAAAAAUACCCCUUUUGAAAUAUGAAAUAUUAUAAACUUUUAUAUGGUUGAUAAGGUACAUCAAGAUCAUCAUUACUAUUGGAAGACUAAAUCCAAAUAUUUAUAAGGUUUUAAAAGGUUCUAAACGGCAUUUAUAAGGUUUUUAAAAGGUUUACACAGUUUUUAUAAGGUUUUUAAAUGAUUUUUAAAAGGUUUUUAAAAGGUAUUUAUACAGUAUUUAUUAAAUAUAUAUAUAAAUUUACACACAUAUAAAGAUAAAUUGUGUCUAUAAAUAUAAGUUUACACAUAUGUUUUUGAUAAAUUUCAAAUGUUAUAGUGAUUUUUUGAUAAAAUUAGAAAGAGGGGUAUUUUUAAAAAGUGGUAUUAGAAAAGGGGUAUUUUUGAAAUUCCCCCGUAAGAAAAUUAUAUUAUAUCACUUUAUAUAUUUCUUAUGUACUUAAUUAUUUUUUGCUCACUCGAAAGAGAAAACAAUAAAAUGCUUUUAAAAAUAUUUUAUAAUGUUCUUAUUAUAUUAGUAUGAAAAUACCCUAAUAUACCAUUAUCCCGGAAUGCUGAAUAUCUCAAUAUUAGUUAAGCUAAAAAAAAUAAUACUAAGGUAAUAUAUAUAUACAAGUAUCAAUACUGGUCAAGUAAUGAUAUUUAGAGAUUUUAUACUUUGUAAGUCAUAUUUACCUUCUCAACAUAUACUGGUCAAAUAAUACUUACUUUUUGAAUCCAUACUAGUCAAGUAAUAUUUACAACCAUAUAUAAGGAUUGCAAUAAACUAAAAGUUGACCAGAAAAAAAACACAUGAAAUAUAUUUUGUGUUCUUAUAUCAUAUAUAAUCAGUCUAGGGGAAGAACAAUUCAUUAAAAACAAAGUUGAGAGAAUUAUCACUACAAUAAAAGUUAUCACUAUGAAAAGUUUAGUGGUAUUUUGUUUUACUAUACUCCUCAUCACAUCUUCUGUUCAUUGUUCUGAUACAGCUAAUGAAAAUCCGGGUAAUUUUUUUAUUGUUAUUCAUACCUUCUUUUUGCAAUUAUCAUCAUGAUGAUUUUAAUUAGUCUUUGUUAAUAUGUAUUAAUUAUUGUUAAUAUUGUAUAUAGGUUAUGAACCUAACCGAAUUGGGAUUCCAAAAGCUGUAAAGUUCGGGCGACGCUUGUGUAGGAACCCGGAAAACUGCAAUGCUUAUUGUAUAAGCCUACGUUUUGAUCAUGGUUUCUGUGUUAGCGGAAGAUUUUG